Paramuricea clavata is the source of this 693-nucleotide non-coding RNA. NCBI's taxonomy places the organism in Eukaryota, Metazoa, Cnidaria, Anthozoa, Malacalcyonacea, Plexauridae. The record is from the annotation of a GenBank genome assembly.
GAAAAAGAUAUCUCAAACGUGGUGGUCCAGUGUAGGUAGUAUUCUACAAUAAGCUGUCGUGGUUUGUGUCUGAACUACCUGAAAAGAUAUCUCAAACGUGGUGGUCCAGUGUAGGUAGUAUUCUACAAUAAGCUGUCGUGGUUUGUGUGUGAACUACCUGAAAAAGAUAUCUCAAACGUGGUGGUCCAGUGUAGGUCGUAUUCUUCAAUAAGCUGUCGUGGUUUGUGUCUGAACUACCUGAAAAAGAUAUCUCAAACGUGGUGGUCCAGUGUAGGUAGUAUUCUACAAUAAGCUGUCGUGGUUUGUGUCUGAACUACCUGAAAAAGAUAUCUCAAACGUGGUGGUCCAGUGUAGGUAGUAUUUUACAAUAAGCUGUCGUGGUUUGUGUGUGAACUACCUGAAAAAUAUAUCUCAAACGUGGUGGUCCAGUGUAGGUAGUAUUUUACAAUAAGCUGUCGUGGUUUGUGUCUGAACUACCUGAAAAAGAUAUCUCAAACGUGGUGGUCCAGUGUAGGUAGUAUUCUACAAUAAGCUGUCGUGGUUUGUGUCUGAACUACCUGAAAAAGAUAUCUCAAACGUGGUGGUCCAGUGUAGGUAGUAUUCUACAAUAAGCUGUCGUGGUUUGUGUCUGAACUACCUGAAAAAGAUAUCUCAAACGUGGUGGUCCAGUGUAGGUAGUAUUCUACAAUAAGC